RNAcentral lists this ribosomal RNA (465 nucleotides) under uncultured bacterium. Its description in RNAcentral is "partial 16S ribosomal RNA". It matches the Rfam family "Bacterial small subunit ribosomal RNA", at positions 28 to 506 of the family's 1533-position model. The record is from RNAcentral.
GAUGAACGCUGGCGGCGUGCUUAACACAUGCAAGUCGAACGAUGAAGCUCAGCUUGCUGGGUGGAUUAGUGGCGAACGGGUGAGUAACACGUGAGUAACCUGCCCUUAACUCUGGGAUAAGCCUGGGAAACUAGGUCUAAUACCGGAUAGGAGCGCCUACCGCAUGGUGGGUGUUGGAAAGAUUUAUCGGUUUUGGAUGGACUCGCGGCCUAUCAGCUUGUUGGUGAGGUAAUGGCUCACCAAGGCGACGACGGGUAGCCGGCCUGAGAGGGUGACCGGCCACACUGGGACUGAGACACGGCCCAGACUCCUACGGGAGGCAGCAGUGGGGAAUAUUGCACAAUGGGCGAAAGCCUGAUGCAGCGACGCCGCGUGAGGGAUGACGGCCUUCGGGUUGUAAACCUCUUUCAGUAGGGAAGAAGCGAAAGUGACGGUACCUGCAGAAGAAGCACCGGCUAACUACGG